RNAcentral lists this ribosomal RNA (253 nucleotides) under uncultured bacterium. Its description in RNAcentral is "partial 16S ribosomal RNA". It matches the Rfam family "Bacterial small subunit ribosomal RNA", at positions 524 to 776 of the family's 1533-position model. The record is from RNAcentral.
GACGAACUGUCCUAACGUUGUUCGGAAUUACUGGGCGUAAAGCGUGCGCAGGCGGUUUUGUAAGCCGGAUGUGAAAUCCCCGGGCUUAACCUGGGAAUGGCAUUCGGGACUGCAAGGCUGGAGUGCGGCAGAGGAGACUGGAAUUCCUGGUGUAGCAGUGAAAUGCGUAGAUAUCAGGAGGAACACCGAUGGCGAAGGCAGGUCUCUGGGCUGACACUGACGCUCAUGCACGAAAGCGUGGGGAGCAAACAGG